Molecule: ribosomal RNA, 481 nt
Filed under: uncultured bacterium
Lineage: Bacteria
Description: bacterial SSU rRNA
Rfam family: Bacterial small subunit ribosomal RNA
Source: RNAcentral
GCGUGUGCGAUGAAGGCCUUCGGGUUGUAAAGCACUUUUUGGAGGGAUGAGGAAGGACAGUACCUUCAGAAUAAGCCUCGGCUAACUACGUGCCAGCAGCCGCGGUAAAACGUAGGAGGCGAGCGUUAUCCGGAUUUACUGGGUGUAAAGCGCGUGUAGGCGGCUUGACAAGUUGGAUGUGAAAGCUCCUGGCUUAACUGGGAGAGGUCGUUCAAAACUGUCAGGCUAGAGUAUGAGAGAGGGAGGUGGAAUUCCGGGUGUAGUGGUGAAAUGCGUAGAUAUCCGGAGGAACACCAGUGGCGAAAGCGGCCUCCUGGCUCAAAACUGACGCUCAGACGCGAAAGCUAGGGUAGCAAACGGGAUUAGAGACCCCGGUAGUCCUAGCUGUAAACGAUGUGGACUUGGCGUUGGUGGUGUUAAAUCCAUCAGUGCCGGAGCAAACGCGUUAAGUCCACCACCUGGGGACUACCGCCGCAAGGUU